UACGUAGGGUGCGAGCGUUAAUCGGAAUUACUGGGCGUAAAGCGUGCGCAGGCGGUUCGUUGUGUCUGAUGUGAAAGCCCCGGGCUUAACCUGGGAAUGGCAUUGGAAACUGGCGAGCUGGAGUGUGGCAGAGGGGGGUGGAAUUCCGCGUGUAGCAGUGAAAUGCGUAGAGAUGCGGAGGAACACCGAUGGCGAAGGCAGCCCCCUGGGCCAACACUGACGCUCAGGCACGAAAGCGCGGGGAGCAAACAGG
Molecule: ribosomal RNA, 253 nt
Filed under: uncultured bacterium
Lineage: Bacteria
Description: partial 16S ribosomal RNA
Rfam family: Bacterial small subunit ribosomal RNA
Source: RNAcentral